UACGUAGGGUGCAAGCGUUAUCCGGAAUUAUUGGGCGUAAAGAGCUCGUAGGCGGUUUGUCGCGUCUGCUGUGAAAACUGGAGGCUCAACCUCCAGCCUGCAGUGGGUACGGGCAGACUAGAGUGCGGUAGGGGAGAUUGGAAUUCCUGGUGUAGCGGUGGAAUGCGCAGAUAUCAGGAGGAACACCAGCGGCGAAGGCGGCGCUCUGGGCCGGAACUGACGCUGAGGAGCGAAAGCGUGGGUAGCAAACAGG
RNAcentral lists this ribosomal RNA (253 nucleotides) under uncultured bacterium. RNAcentral describes it as "partial 16S ribosomal RNA". It matches the Rfam family "Bacterial small subunit ribosomal RNA", at positions 524 to 776 of the family's 1533-position model. The record is from RNAcentral.